AAAAAGCAGAUAAUGGAUCCUAUUUUUAUGAAACACAACUACCCAUUAUCUUUUUUAAUUCUAAAAUAAAUUUACUUAUUUUUUUUAAAAAACCUCUCGCAAGCUCGGAAGCGCGUGCAGAGAAGCUAGUUAGAAGUGAAGAGAACGGUGAUUUGGAUGUUAUAAGUUGAAAGUACAUGCGAUUACGAGUUUGUAAUAUUUUUCGGUCAAUUUUUUAGAGUCCCGGAUGUAUUUUUAAGGAAUUUCUGAAAUUGGUCCAUUUGUCGUGUGCCACGUGGCAGCUGGGGAUUGACCUACUUGAAUAGCAUAAAAGACAUGAGAAGUGGAUAAUAUCCCAUAAUUGCUGGGUUGCCUUCUCCUCCUUGGCGCGGACUGAAAUGGAAAACCAUUCCGGAUUCAUCAAAUCUUGUGUAUUUCAUAACUUUAGUUGUAGAAGUCAGAUUAACGAACCGUUUCGGCCUUCAUGAUCUUGAGGAUGAGCUCUAUGACUUGAGGUAAAUUAUCCCCAAAUUUAUUUACAUCUAUUUUACAUAGUUUUCCCAAGUGAUCUGUUGAGCUCUACGAUAUGCAUGCAACUAUAUGAAUAUUUUGAUAUCUAUAAUGUAGCAACAUUUAAGAGCAAAAUAGAAGCGGCUUUGUAAUUUCGAAAUAUAUUGCAAUAAUAUUACACAACACACACCACCCUUUCAGCCUUCAUGCUCCACAUGUUCAUCUAUGCUCAUUUCAGUAUUGGGAUCGGACCUCAAUCGUUUGGGAGGUCGAUCCUCAUCAGACGAGCCAUGGCUUGGUCCUGCAUCGCCGUCGGCAAGCGCUCUCUUCGACUUAAUGUCUGCCUGAGCAUUGUCCUCGCCAAGAACAUUAGCAUCCUCAUUGGAGCCAGAAGCAUAUUGUAUCUUCUUAUCAUUGAUAACUUUGUCCCACACUAGACUGACCCCUGUUUUCUUCACACUAAAUUGGGGUCCAAAAUCUACGAUAACCUCAACUUCAUCACAGCCCUCCAAAUUGAACACAUUGUUGGAUAGAUUUCCCUGCCAAAGAUGAUCUUCAUGAGAUGCUACCACGUCUAUUGCAACCGGCCUCGAGGUACGCAUUGUGCCCUUGGUAUAGUUUAUAACUGAGAUGCUAGUAAGAUCUUGAGAUACUAUGUUGUCGAGACAUGAAGAAUAAACAAUGCACACAAUCAACUCCUUCAAAUUACAACCAAUAUUUUGAGGCACUUCAAAAAAGACUGAGGCGCCCUCAUCAACAUAGGGGAACCACUCAGGAAUAUUAUUUCCAGGGAGAAAAAUGCCACCAAAUCCACUCACAGUCCAUCCCUAUACAGGCAGAGUAAGAUUUGUAUAAGCAAACAAUGCAUAUUUUUGUAUGUUAUGAGAGAGAGAGAGAGAGAGAGAGAGAGAGAGAGAGAGAGAGAGAGAGAGAGAACCUGCAGGAUGUUCUCUUUAAGAGCAUCAGUGAUAUUGCUGCAGCCUUCCAUUCGAAUGAAUCUCAAGGACUUUAACAACUUAACCAAGCCUGGAAUCUCGAUGAGUUUGCUGCAGUUUGUCAGACUCAAAGUAUCCAUAUUUGAGAUUUCUGAUAAAUUUGGUAUUCUUUCCAGUGAAGUGCAGUUUCUCGCUUCCAGGGAUUUCAAAUUGUUUGGUAACUCUGGGAUUGCAUUAAGGUUUGCACAAUAAUCCAAUAUUAGCCUUCGAAGCUUGGAAAGGCCAUUGAGGCUUGAUGGCAGGCUACGAAAACUAUUGCUUUGUAGAUUUAAUUCUUGUAAAGAAAAUAAACUCCCAAGAUCCUUAGGAAUUGCAUCAUCAGUUAAAUUGCAGUCUUCAAGAGAUAAUCUUUGUAAAGAGGUUAAGCCUCGUAAUGAUGGGGGCAAUAGAUUAGUUGGUUUAGUAAUUUUCCUAGGCAAUACCCAAGACCAGAAAAGAGAGGGCAAUGAGUUAGAUGGUGAUGCUUUCAAACCACACAGGGAUAAAUAUUUCAGGUUCGUCAGUCGUAAUAUUGUAGAAGGUACUUUUCUUAUGGCUGUGUUGUCUGCAAGAAGAGUUGUCAAUGAUACCAUUUUCCCUAAAUCAUCAUCCAAGUUUGCAAAUUUUGAACAGCCAGAAAGAUCAAGAGUUUCAAUAGAUUUCAACUCAUAGAAACUCCUUGGAAGAUCCUUGAGCAUUUUGCAAUCUUUCAAAUUUACCACAAGAAGUCUUUCAAGAUGUCCAAUAGACGGGUGCACCUCGAACAAACUCUUACAGUCUUUGAGCAUCAGUUUCUCAAGAUUUGGAAGUUUCGAAAAGUCUGGCGAGCGUUGUAGGUAAUGAGAGUGACUGAGAUUAAGAAUCUUCAACUUGUCUAGCAACUGUUAGACAGAAGGGAAGAUAGAAAUCAAAAUUUAAAUAGAACAUGAAGAAAAUGUACAAAACCAAAGGAAAUCUUUACUCAUACAUACCCCAGGAUCCUUCCAAACGUGCGUGAGGUUGCUAUAACGCAGGUCUAUAGCAACUAGUUUCUGUUGGUGAAAGCUGUUUGGUAUGAACUUUAGAGGGAGACCAUGCCAACAUAGCCAUCUUAACUCUUUGGUAAGAUAUUCGUAGCUUCCAGUGAGUUGUACGUAAUUGAGUUGGAGCAAUCUCAGUCUCUGCAUAUUUGCAAAUGCUUUUGUACUGAAACUUACAUCAUCAGAUCUUAGCAAAUUCAGUGUUACUCCUUCAAUUUCUUCAGUCCCCUGUACAUAAAAAUAAAAAAGUAAACAAAGGAGUUAUUUCCAUGUGAGAUGAUUUAUAUUCAUGAAUCCAUGAUCACAAGCUGAACAAGAUUUAUAUCCUCUGAACAAGAAAGCAUGUGAAAGAUGAUAAAUUGUUAGAUGUGGGAAGCAUGUGCUUCUGUUGUAUAACGUGCAUUUAAUUUAGCAAAGAAUUUGAUUGAGAAAGUUCUUACACAGUGUUUUGCUAAUACAUCUUUUAUGUCUUCUUUAUGCCACAAUCUACUGCAUUUUCCAGGUUCAUUGGGGGAUUUUUCACGGACAACUUCUCUUCCCAUGUCUCGAAGCAAAUCAUGCAUCGUGAGCUUGUUUCUUUCACUAACAGUUACAAGGCAUCGUUGAAGGAGAACACUGAUUUCUAUUUCUGCAAAAAAGC
Molecule: long non-coding RNA, 3122 nt
Filed under: Prunus persica (peach)
Lineage: Eukaryota; Viridiplantae; Streptophyta; Magnoliopsida; Rosales; Rosaceae
Description: long non-coding RNA (PPER_LNC001655)
Source: RNAcentral